CAUGAAGAUGAUCCUGUGAGGAUUGAGCUGAAGACACUGCAGGAAAGGAAAGAAGAAAUUGACAUACUAGCACAUAAGCAAGUUCGGCGCAUCCUUUGGUGUGGGCUUGGACUAGGUCUGUUGCAGGUUGGACUAUUCUUUCGACUAACAUUCUGGGAAUUCUCAUGGGAUGUAAUGGAACCUAUUGGAUUUUUUGUCACUACCACUGGUAUAAUUAUAGGCUAUGCCUACUUCUUGUUCACUUCA
RNAcentral lists this unclassified non-coding RNA (246 nucleotides) under Hevea brasiliensis (rubber tree). The record is from RNAcentral. Lineage: Eukaryota; Viridiplantae; Streptophyta; Magnoliopsida; Malpighiales; Euphorbiaceae.